CCUACGGGGUGCAGCAGUGGGGAAUAUUGGACAAUGGGCGAAAGCCUGAUCCAGCCAUGCCGCGUGUGUGAAGAAGGCCUUCGGGUUGUAAAGCACUUUCAGUGGGGAAGAAAGCCUUGGGGCUAAUACCCUCGAGGAAGGACAUCACCCACAGAAGAAGCACCGGCUAACUCCGUGCCAGCAGCCGCGGUAAUACGGAGGGUGCGAGCGUUAAUCGGAAUUACUGGGCGUAAAGCGCGCGUAGGCGGUCUGAUAAGCCGGUUGUGAAAGCCCCGGGCUCAACCUGGGAACGGCAUCCGGAACUGUCAGGCUAGAGUGCAGGAAAGGAAGGUAGAAUUCCCGGUGUAGCGGUGAAAUGCGUAGAGAUCGGGAGGAAUACCAGUGGCGAAGGCGGCCUUCUGGACUGACACUGACGCUGAGGUGCGAAAGCGUGGGUAGCAAACAGGAUUAGAUCCCCUGUAGUC
This 464-nucleotide ribosomal RNA is filed under the name Vreelandella stevensii. RNAcentral's name for it is "partial 16S ribosomal RNA". It matches the Rfam family "Bacterial small subunit ribosomal RNA", at positions 338 to 795 of the family's 1533-position model. The record is from RNAcentral. Lineage: Bacteria; Pseudomonadati; Pseudomonadota; Gammaproteobacteria; Oceanospirillales; Halomonadaceae.